GACGAACGCUGGCGGCGUGCCUAAUACAUGCAAGUAGAACGCUGAAGGAGGAGCUUGCUUCUCUGGAUGAGUUGCGAACGGGUGAGUAACGCGUAGGUAACCUGCCUGGUAGCGGGGGAUAACUAUUGGAAACGAUAGCUAAUACCGCAUAAGAGUAGAUGUUGCAUGACAUUUGCUUAAAAGGUGCACUUGCAUCACUACCAGAUGGACCUGCGUUGUAUUAGCUAGUUGGUGGGGUAACGGCUCACCAAGGCGACGAUACAUAGCCGACCUGAGAGGGUGAUCGGCCACACUGGGACUGAGACACGGCCCAGACUCCUACGGGAGGCAGCAGUAGGGAAUCUUCGGCAAUGGACGGAAGUCUGACCGAGCAACGCCGCGUGAGUGAAGAAGGUUUUCGGAUCGUAAAGCUCUGUUGUAAGAGAAGAACGAGUGUGAGAGUGGAAAGUUCACACUGUGACGGUAUCUUACCAGAAAGGGACGGCUAACUACGUGCCAGCAGCCGCGGUAAUACGUAGGUCCCGAGCGUUGUCCGGAUUUAUUGGGCGUAAAGCGAGCGCAGGCGGUUAGAUAAGUCUGAAGUUAAAGGCUGUGGCUUAACCAUAGUAGGCUUUGGAAACUGUUUAACUUGAGUGCAAGAGGGGAGAGUGGAAUUCCAUGUGUAGCGGUGAAAUGCGUAGAUAUAUGGAGGAACACCGGUGGCGAAAGCGGCUCUCUGGCUUGUAACUGACGCUGAGGCUCGAAAGCGUGGGGAGCAAACGGGAUUAGAUACCCUGGUAGUCCACGCUGUAAACGAUGAGUGCUAGGUGUUAGACCCUUUCCGGGGUUUAGUGCCGUAGCUAACGCAUUAAGCACUCCGCCUGGGGAGUACGACCGCAAGGUUGAAACUCAAAGGAAUUGACGGGGGCCCGCACAAGCGGUGGAGCAUAUGGUUUAAUUCGAAGCAACGCGAAGAACCUUACCAGGUCUUGACAUCCCUCUGACCGCUCUAGAGAUAGAGUUUUCCUUCGGGACAGAGGUGACAGGUGGUGCAUGGUUGUCGUCAGCUCGUGUCGUGAGAUGUUGGGUUAAGUCCCGCAACGAGCGCAACCCCUAUUGUUAGUUGCCAUCAUUUAGUUGGGCACUCUAGCGAGACUGCCGGUAAUAAACCGGAGGAAGGUGGGGAUGACGUCAAAUCAUCAUGCCCCUUAUGACCUGGGCUACACACGUGCUACAAUGGCUGGUACAACGAGUCGCAAGCCGGUGACGGCAAGCUAAUCUCUUAAAGCCAGUCUCAGUUCGGAUUGUAGGCUGCAACUCGCCUACAUGAAGUCGGAAUCGCUAGUAAUCGCGGAUCAGCACGCCGCGGUGAAUACGUUCCCGGGCCU
RNAcentral lists this ribosomal RNA (1367 nucleotides) under uncultured bacterium. RNAcentral describes it as "bacterial SSU rRNA". It matches the Rfam family "Bacterial small subunit ribosomal RNA", at positions 28 to 1381 of the family's 1533-position model. The record is from RNAcentral.